CCUACGGGUGGCAGCAGUCGAGAAUCAUUCACAAUGGGGGCAACCCUGAUGGUGCGACGCCGCGUGGGGGAAUGAAGGUCUUCGGAUUGUAAACCCCUGUCAUGUGGGAGCAAAUGACAAAGAUAGUACCACAAGAGGAAGAGACGGAUAACUCUGUGCCAGCAGCCGCGGUAAUACAGAGGUCUCAAGCGUUGUUCGGAAUCACUGGGCGUAAAGGGUGCGUAAGCUGUUUCGUAAGUCGUGUGUGAAAGGCGCGGGCUCAACCCGCGGAGGGCAGAUGAAACUGGGAGACUAGAGUAAUGGAGAAGGAAGCGGAAUUCUCGGUGUAGCAGUGAAAUGCGUAGAUAUCGAGCGGAACACUCGUGGCGAAGGCAGGUUACUGGACAUUAACUGACGCUGAGGCACGAAGGCCAGGGGAGCGAAAGGGAUUAGAUACCCUUGUAGUC
RNAcentral lists this ribosomal RNA (446 nucleotides) under uncultured bacterium. RNAcentral describes it as "partial 16S ribosomal RNA". It matches the Rfam family "Bacterial small subunit ribosomal RNA", at positions 338 to 795 of the family's 1533-position model. The record is from RNAcentral.